CAUGGAGUCUGGUGGAAAUAUGCUGGCUCUAUACACGCUAAAAGUACUGAUUAUUUACAUGGAGUCUGGUGGAAAUAUGCUGGCUCUAUACACGCUAAAAGUCCUGAUUAUUUACAUGGUGCCCGGUGGAAAUAUGCCGGCUAUAUACACGCUAAAAGUCCUGAUUAUUUACAUGGAGUAUGGUGGGAAUAUGCCUGGCUCU
Molecule: long non-coding RNA, 202 nt
Organism: Sander lucioperca (pikeperch)
Lineage: Eukaryota; Metazoa; Chordata; Actinopteri; Perciformes; Percidae
Exons: 3
Source: RefSeq, a predicted model, not a curated record